CUGUAGACUCACAGACUAUAAAAUAUUAUAAUAAACUAUUUUUUCAGACCAUUCUAGUUACUGCUGUUCUUUUUUAAUCUUCAGGGACAGGAUCCAAUGCUGGCUGAAGUCAACUGAAAAUUUCCCAACAAGGCUUUGGAUCAAAUAACCAGGACAAGGUUGACACUGCUGUAAAGAUGACAACAGUUAGGUUGAAACAUGACAAUAUUGACACGAGGCAUCUAUCAAAUAGGAUCUGCAUUAUGUGUACACGUUUUUUGUAAAAUUGUGUUCUGUGUUAGAAGAAAACAGAAUCUUUGACAAAAUGGAGGAAAUGAAGCCACCAGAAUUUCUCAUUGUGGUAUGGAAACUAGCAGAAACUUCAAUAGAUGCAGACUUCUAAAUUCUCCCAGAAGAACUACUGAACAGAAAUCAAGGUGUUGAGGCAGAAAGGAGGAAGAAAUUCUCCAUAUAACAGGCCCAGAGGUUUUGAUUAGCUACAGUACCUUCCCGUUGGAUAAGACUUCAAAUUGUUAAAUAAUCUUUUUAAAUGUUUCAAGAAGUAUUGAAGUGAUGUUGUUGUUUAAUUAACACAAAAAUGAAUUUAGUGAAAUCAUAUUUUAUUUACCAAAUAACAGCAUGGUAAAACCUAGUCUUUUGUAUUUGAUUAGUUAAGACAUGGACACAAGAAUAAACUUGCUCAAUGCUUUUUGAAUAAAAUAUUU
Molecule: long non-coding RNA, 704 nt
Filed under: Crocodylus porosus (Australian saltwater crocodile)
Lineage: Eukaryota; Metazoa; Chordata; Crocodylia; Crocodylidae
Description: lncRNA (ENSCPRG00005013731.1)
Source: RNAcentral